GCCCGGACAUGCCACGCUGUCUGGAGGAUGGCUCGGCUUGAGAGCCGAAGAAGGGCGCGGCAAGCCGCGAUACCGCCUCGGGUAGGCGCAAGCAGCCUUAGAACCGAGGAUACCUGAAUGGGACUUCUCAACGAACUCGCAAGAGUCCGUUGCUCCUUCACGGAGCGGGAACCCCCCGAACGGAAGCAUCUUAGUAGGGGGAGGAAAAGAAACCAAAACGGGAUUCCCUUAGUAGCAGCGAGCGAAGCGGGAACAGUCCAAACCGAAUCCCGCAGGGAAACUUGCGGGAGAUGUAGGGUUAAGGGCCCGGCUGCCUCUUCACUGGCCAAGCUGAAGUGGCCUGAAAAGGCCCGCCACAGAGGGUGACAGCCCCCUAAGCACAAACCAGAAAGAGUUGAGCAGGAGUCCCAGACUACCAUUCCAUGGCUUUGGAGUGGAAAAUCGGGAGUCACCAACUUCCAAGACUAAAUACGCCUCAAGACCGAUAGCGCACUAGUACGGUGACGGAAAACUGAAAAGUACCCCGGAAUGGGGGUGAAAAGUGCCUGAAACCAGACAGUUACAGACGUGUGCGGCCCAGAAGAGUAGAACCUUUCCGAAGGAAACCACUGUGAAGUGGCAGUACGAGGAGAGGGGAUCAGGGUCGCACGUUCCGUCUAGAAACACGGGCCGGGGAGUUUAUAGUUAUGGCAAGCCUAAAGGUACAAAGCCUGUAAGCAUAGGGAAACCAAUACGCGCGCAACUCCGCAAGGAGCCAGGCGCAGGGUCUGAAAGGGCCCGGAGUCAUAACUAUACAUACUAGAAACCAGACGAUCUAGCCCUGGGCAGGGCGAAGCUAGGCGAAAGCCUAGUGGAGGCUCGAAAGGGUUCUGACGUGCAAUUCGUUCCCCAGACCUGGGGCUAGGGGCUAAAGACCAAUCUAGUCUGGUGAUAGCUAGUUCCUUCCGAAGUGGGCCUGAGCCCAGUGCCGAGCGAGGUGGCUGGUGGGGUAGAGCACUGAUUGGAAAACAAGGACCCGAAAGGAUCCACUUUCCUUUCAAACUACGAAUCCACCCGCGCCAAAGACCUUGGUAAACGGGUUACAGGGGGUAAGCUCCUGGACCGAGAGGGGGACAACCCAGACUGAGGUUAAGGUCCCCAAGUGCUGGCUAAAUGUCAAACCAAAGGGCGUCGUCAGCCUCAGACAGCGGGGAGGUAGGCUUAGAAGCAGCCAUCCUUCAAAGAAAGCGUAACAGCUCACCCGCCGAGGCUGACGGCCCCGAAAAUUGACGGGGCUAAGCCAGCCACCGAUACCUCAGAACGCAGUUUAGCAUUGCGCUGGUAGGAAGGCGUCCUAGUUGGGCAGAAGCUGGGCUGUAAGGUCCAGUGGACCGAUUAGGAUUGCGGAUCCCGGUGGUAGUAACAGCAAAGAGAAGUGGGAAUCUUCUCCGCCGAAGGGGCCAGGGUUCCCCGGCAACGAUCGUCAGCCGGGGGUAAGUCGAUCCUAAGGCAUAACUUAACCGAUUAUGCCGAAAAAGGGAAUCCGGCUAAAAUUCCGGAACCAUAGAGGUACAUGCGGCGACGCAAGCUUAGUGUUGACGUUUCGGGGUAAGCUGAGCAAGGUCAUCGCCUUGUUUAACCGUAUAAACCUAGGG
RNAcentral lists this ribosomal RNA (1634 nucleotides) under Planctomycetota bacterium. RNAcentral's name for it is "partial 23S ribosomal RNA". It matches the Rfam family "Archaeal large subunit ribosomal RNA", at positions 1 to 1628 of the family's 2987-position model. Lineage: Bacteria; Pseudomonadati; Planctomycetota. The record is from RNAcentral.